GGUCAAUAGAUUAACUUGAUCGAUUUUAAUCGAUCAAUUUGUUAUCUAAGGCAAGUAUCUAGAUAGUAGUUAUUUAAUUGGUUCUAUUGUCUGACCUAAUCAAUCCAUUGGUAUCUAAGAAAAGCAACAGAGGGACCUCCACUUAACUUAUCUAACCAUUUUAGGAGAUUAAGUUUUGAAUUAGGUUACUUGUUGAUUUGAGUUUACCCAUGCCGACUAGGUAGGUCAGAUAUGUGAAUGUGCUGACCUGAACUUAGUCAGUCAGAUAUCAAAUCUGAUGACUUUGAAGAGACCUAAACCUAAAUAUCCUUACUAAAUAUUAAGUCUAGUGGUCUUUCACCAUUGUAGAGAUGCGGGUGCCUUCUUGACGUUGAUCGUUCCUGACUGGCUCAGUGGUUCGAUUGCAUCUAAAAGGUAUAACCACUCUAUUGACAUUAGAUGCCCUGAGAUAGAGAUGGGAUUGGGCCCAAUAACUAUUAGAUGAGGAUCCCAAUGAUAGUUUUACAUCUGUUGGUGAAUGAUAGGUCUGAUUUAACUAAGAAAUAUGCCAAUAACUGUUAGGUGAGACCACAGGACUUAGAGACC
RNAcentral lists this long non-coding RNA (585 nucleotides) under Elaeis guineensis (African oil palm). RNAcentral describes it as "long non-coding RNA (EGUI_LNC061541)". Lineage: Eukaryota; Viridiplantae; Streptophyta; Magnoliopsida; Arecales; Arecaceae. The record is from RNAcentral.